AGGUUUCCUGUGGCUUGGGGCUCCGCCCGGUAUGGGGAAAGUUUAAGGCGGAAGAGCCCUCGUUUGUCGGCUGCUUGGGAAGUCUGAGGAUUACUGGGACUAACAGGACUUCAGCUGGGGCUUCAACGUGUGGUGUGGGCUUCCUGACACCACGGCCACUGGUUUCCAAGAGUUUCAACAAUAUUUUCAUCAUAUUUAUUGAAGGCCUCACUGACAGACUUCUCAAGGCCCCUCUACCUUCUAUUCGCUGCCUGGCCCCAAAGCCAGUGCCACACAUUUUAGGUUUUUAACUGCAGCAGCACCUAUGAUGUUUCCAAAAUCUGUAUCAUUAAAGUUUGAUCAGAGAAGCAAAACCACCUUGAGCAAAACAAGGAAUUUAUUAAAGAGAUUAGGAUACACAUUGUUAUGAAAGCUGCAACCUGCUGCCCCUGUGUCCAGAAGUGGGCCUGAAGUCAGCAGGGCUGGCAAAUGGAUGUGCAGUGGGAGAGAGUAGGCGUGAGCUGCACCUGCAGGGAGGAGAUGGAACUCCUGUGGAUGGACUGAAACUGAUGUCUUCCACGUCAGCCUCUCAGGCCUCCAACACUCCAGCGCUGAUGAUGAAGAUGACCUGCAGAGGAGCUGGUGCCCUUCACCAUGGAAUUGCUCAUAAACCCAAGAUUCAGUGAAGCUGAAGAAGCAGUUCUGGUGGGAGCUGGAGGAACUGCAGGCACAGCUGCUGCCCUGUACCAAUACAUUGAGCCAGUGGCUGCCUGGCAUUGUGUGUGAGCCACCACAGCGCCUGGCCCUACACAGACUUUGACUGUAAAUAUGACUGCUGUUUCACUUCUGCCUUCCAAAUUUUGCUCAGAUUUUCUGAGAAACAUAGUUCAGCUUAGGUACAUUGACACAGUACAAAGCCACCGCAGUGGCUGGUUAGGGAGGGAUUAUGAAUGCAGGCUGAGAAUGCACGGGAAGCGUUUGUCUAUUUAUAGAGUAGGUACCAUUCAAGGAUUUAUGUGAAUCAGGUGCAAAGAACUCACACAAAGAUGGGGAAAGUUAGUACUUAGAAAUCAGUGAUACUAGAUAACCAAUAAAUAAAAAUAAACUUAAAAAAAAAAA
Molecule: long non-coding RNA, 1098 nt
Filed under: Homo sapiens (human)
Lineage: Eukaryota; Metazoa; Chordata; Mammalia; Primates; Hominidae
Description: long independently transcribed non-coding RNA 2427 (LINC02427)
Source: RNAcentral